UACCAGCUCUCCGAGUGGUGGGGACGAUUAUUGGGCUUAAAGCGUUCGUAGCCGGCUUAACAAGUCUUCCGUUAAAUCCAACGAUCUAAUCGUUGGUCUGCGGGAGAUACUGUUGGGCUAGGAGGCGGGAGAAGCCGACGGUAUUCUCGGGGUAGGGGUGAAAUCCUGUAAUCCCGGGAGGACCACCAGUGGCGAAGGCGGUCGGCUAGAACGCGCUCGACGGUGAGGGUCGAAAGCUGGGGGAGCGAACCGGAUUAGAAACCCGGAUAGUCCCAGCUGUAAACGAUGCGGGCUAGGUGUUGGGGUGGCCACGAGCCACUUCAGUGCCGCAUGGAAGCAAUUAAGCUCGCCGCCUGGGGAGUACGGCCGCAAGGCUGAAACUUAAAGGAAUUGGCGGGGGAGCACCACAAGGCGUGAAGCUUGCGGAUC
Molecule: ribosomal RNA, 429 nt
Filed under: uncultured archaeon
Lineage: Archaea
Description: bacterial SSU rRNA
Rfam family: Archaeal small subunit ribosomal RNA
Source: RNAcentral